UACAGAGGUCCCAAGCGUUGUUCGGAUUCACUGGGCGUAAAGGGUGCGUAGGCGGACUGAUAAGUCAGUGGUGAAAUCUCUCAGCUUAACUGAGAAACUGCCAUUGAUACUGUCGGUCUAGAGUAUAGAUGACGUUGGCGGAAUAUGACAUGUAGUGGUGAAAUACUUAGAUAUGUCAUAGAACACCGAUUGCGAAGGCAGCUAACGAAACUAUAACUGACGCUGAGGCACGAAAGUGCGGGGAUCAAACAGG
RNAcentral lists this ribosomal RNA (253 nucleotides) under uncultured bacterium. RNAcentral describes it as "partial 16S ribosomal RNA". It matches the Rfam family "Bacterial small subunit ribosomal RNA", at positions 524 to 776 of the family's 1533-position model. The record is from RNAcentral.